RNAcentral lists this ribosomal RNA (236 nucleotides) under uncultured bacterium. RNAcentral's name for it is "partial 16S ribosomal RNA". It matches the Rfam family "Bacterial small subunit ribosomal RNA", at positions 524 to 770 of the family's 1533-position model. The record is from RNAcentral.
UACGUAGGGGCGAGCGUUACCCGGAUUUACUGGCGUAAAGCGCGUGUAGGCGGCUGGUCAAGCGUGGUGUGAAAUCUCCGGCUCAACCGGAACUGCAUUGCGAACUGACCUAGCUGGAGUGCAGGAGAGGCAGCGAAUUCCGGUGUAGCGGUGAAAUGCGUAGAUAUCGGAAGAACACCAGUGGCGAAGGCGGCUGCCUGGCCUGUAACUGACGCUGAGACGCGAAGCGUGGAGCA